RNAcentral lists this long non-coding RNA (759 nucleotides) under Homo sapiens (human). Its description in RNAcentral is "non-protein coding lnc-CDH9-2:2". Lineage: Eukaryota; Metazoa; Chordata; Mammalia; Primates; Hominidae. The record is from RNAcentral.
GUGAAGAGGAGGAGCAAGGUGUGGACCUAAGAAAAUAAUAAAUUCUGUGUAACUGACAGCAAAAACACAGACUUAGGCACUGUAUUCUAGCUGAUAAUGAUAUUUCUCAAUAGAUACCAGGUUAACAGCUCUAGUACUGCUAUACAUGUGUACUGAAAUUGAACAGUUAAAUAAAUGGAGGACAUCCACGUUUAUCACUGAUGGAGUGGGAGUUUACAGAUAAGCAGGAGGAGGAGGCCAGAAAGAUGCAUGUGGUGAUGGAUUAGAAUUGGAGACAUCCUGCCCUCAAGGAGAGAGAACAUAAAAGAACAUAAAUCCGCUUUUCAUCAAUGUGAGCUGCACCAACUUACCUCCUCCCAAAGAGCACAAAAUAGAAAGGAACGAAAAGAAAAGAGCAACUUUACAGUGAAGAAACCUACAAACACUACCUCAGCCAGCAGAGAGAGAAAGAAAGCAGAGCUCUUUGAAGCAGAGAAAGAAAGCAGAAAGCAGAGAUCUUUGAAGGCUUAAGAAACCAUAAGGAGUUUUGGAGAGUCAAUGCAUGAUGAUCUCUGAAGAUUCUACUGAAAUCUAAUCAAUAUGUCCUCACUGCCAUCAAUUCAAAAGAACUUGCUAAGAAGGCUCUAGAGGCUUGUACUCUCAGAUAGUGAAAGUGAGAUGAUGUGUAGUGAAAGUCAUAUAUAGGUUGUAAAUUGCAAUAUGGAAUUCCCAAAUGCUGAAUUCAUUUUAUCUCUUCGGAAAUAAAAACCUGUUAAAGAC